ACCUUUUAAGUAUAACAAUGUACAUUUGCCUUCCAAGUAAAAAGAUAAAUAAAUUUUUAAAAAGGUA
This 67-nucleotide transfer RNA is filed under the name Marisa cornuarietis. RNAcentral describes it as "tRNA-Gly". The record is from RNAcentral. Lineage: Eukaryota; Metazoa; Mollusca; Gastropoda; Architaenioglossa; Ampullariidae.